RNA transcript from Chelonia mydas (Green sea turtle), 12851 nucleotides. It is a transcript of the gene named FRAS1 related extracellular matrix 3, with no coding region annotated. The record is from RefSeq and is a predicted model, not a curated record. NCBI's taxonomy places the organism in Eukaryota, Metazoa, Chordata, Testudines, Cheloniidae. The transcript is spliced from 16 exons.
CUCCUCCUGGUGCAUGAUGUGCUUGCUUUUAGACAAUGGUGGGCCCCAAACCAAAAUGGAGUCACAUGUGCUAACUUUUCCUUAACAUUCCUUUAAAAAAAAAAAAGUGAUUUGUCUAAUGUGUAUCUCUUUUUGUUUCAGAACUGAGAAUUCAAUUUUUAAAAAUACUUCCAAAUGUCCUGAUGUAGGAGCAGGGUUAGUACUAGGAACUUGCAAGCCCUAUGAGACCUAAAGUUUGCUAGAGCUCUAGCAAACACCUAUAACCUGUAUAGUACAUCUAGGUGUGUCAGUUUGAAAGCUGGGUGGAGGGUUUGCAUGGGAGACUUUGCAAUUAGGGAAAGAAGGUUAGGAUGCAUUGUAAUUGUGGGGACAAGUCAAAGAUUUUCAUCAGCAAGGAAGGUGGGGAAUGGAGGAUUUUAGCACUUAAAAUGGAGACUGAGCUACUGCAGUUCAUUUUUUCAAGUUGGUGGUGGUCAAAGAGUCAAUGUCAGUUGAGACCACUCACAUAGCAUACAUCAACAACCUCCUCUACCCAAUGUGGGAAAGAGAAUGCUAACAAAGCAAGGCCCUGACAGCUGCACACUUACCACUUACCUUGAGGCCCGCCCUGUGAAUGGAGUUUCCGGGUAUGUCUACACAGCAAAGAAAAACCUAUGGCUGGCUCAUGCCAGCUGACUUGGGCUCACAGGGCUCAGGUUUUCUCAUUGCAGUGUGGCCUUCUGGGCUCAGGUUUUUCUUUGCUGUGUAGGCAUUAGAGUUUGAAAUCUCAUUUGUGCCUAUGAUAUUACAAUCAGAGGAACCAGGCUUUGGAAACCAGGAUAAAUUUUUUCAUCUUGUCCUAAUAUCAUUAGCAAAAAGGACAAAUUAUGCUCUCAAAUGGCUAUGUGUGGUUCCCAACUAAGUUAAUAUGAGCCCCACCUGCACAUGCUAGGGCAGAAUUUGCCUAUUGUCUUAUGGGGGCUAUGUUGAUUUUGUCCUAGUUGCUGUGAAAGAUAUCUCGAGUGAAAACAUGACCAGUGUGUGCAUCCUCAGAAAGCAAUGGUUGAAGCUGCUACCCUGCAUUGAGAUCUAUUUGCCUAUUUUAGGAAUGUCUCAAGUCAUAAUAUCUAUGCACCAAGAUCAGCUCAUACUACCACUCCCAAAAGAAGGGGAUUUCAUUUUUUUAGCUAAUGUAGCUAAAUGUAUCCAUCUGCAAAAGAAAAUAGUUCCAUAUUUACACUUAAAUUUAGAAAUAUCAUUUUUAUUACAUGCCUCUUCUACCUUUAUUUUUCAGACUGCUUGGUACUUUUUCUAUUCUGGAUAUCCAUUAAUAAAGCCUCCCUCCCUAAAACACAAAUACUGCAGCAGAGCUUCAUCCAACAAACCUCUUCAUUACAUCUUGUAUAAAGAGGGAUUUGAUCUAUGAAAAGCUUGAAUGGGCCUGGAAGCUGAGUAUUAUCCUGAUUCAGAAGACAUGAACCAAGCCUAAUAUGGAAGCACCACUUCAAUGCGCUGCUCAGACAACCAGACCUUUUGAUGAAUGUCAGUUGAGAGUACUUCAACACCUCCUAAAAUAGGUAAGGAGAUGUAUCUUUGGACAUUCCAGUGUCCAUUCAGUUUGACACCUGUGUAGCAUUUGGUUUAUAAUCUGGAAUUUUGUAGUGCUACAAAAUAGCUACCUCUAUUGAAAGACUUUUCCUCAGUUUCAGUGUUAAGAGGGUCAUACCUACUUGUGCAGCAAAUAACGCUCUGUACAUUCAGAGAUCUUUCUGUCGGUCAGCUUGAUGCCUGUUCAUCAAGGUGACUAUGAAAAAGAAUCGCAGUGUGACAACACGGUCCAUUACCAGAAAUCAGGUUUUGUUAGACCUUUCUGCUCACUUGGGCUGCAGUUUGUAAUUGCCAUAGUAGUCUGUUGUGAAAUGUCAGCCCAGUAGUACAUCAGAGUCAUCACAAUGGAUUACUCUACUUAGCCACCUCCUAAAGGUUAUUUCUAUGCAGCAAUGCUUUCACAACAAAAAGCAAAAUGUACUAGAGUCAUAAGAAAACAACAUAAUUGAUUCACAUCAGAGAAGACUGGCAAAUAACUUUCAUUUUUCCUGCUUAGCUUGCAAAGAACUUCUUACCACCACCCACGGCUAGUUUAACUCUCCAUGGGAAGAUUUGGAACACUGUGUCAGUAUCUUAUUUUCCUCUGACAUGUUUUAUCAUUUACUAAACCCUCAAAACAGGUGUUACUCUUACUUCAUUCUUCCUUAGAAAUGAUGGGCAGACCCUUCACUAAAGUCAAUGGAGCUACACUGACUUACACCAGCUGUGGAUCUGACCCUGUAGCUUGAGCUGCUCUAAAGGGUUUGGUUUUUUUUAUUGUUUAAUUCCAUCUGAGAACAUAAAGAAACAAAUUGUGAAGAACAUAAAGAAAAAAACUAGAUCCUAAUCAGGGAAUGUGUAGAAUAUAGAUGCUAGAUAGGUAUCCAAGAAAAUAUAGGGGUUGAUUCACCACUGUGGUACACCUGUUUUUCAGUCAGUUACACAGGUGUACAACUGGAGCAACACCGUGGUGACAGGCCCUUUAUAUGCUUUUUUCCUAAUGCUUGACUAAUAUAUAUUCUACACAUUCCCUGAUCACACAAUACAUAUUACGUGGAACGCUGGUUAUAUGAUGAAUAGUAGACAACAUAAUAGCCAAGCCCUGCUCACCUUAUUCAGUGAAACUACUUGUGUGAGGACGGUGAGCAGGAUCUGGCCUUCAUUUUGGAUAGCAUUCUUAAUACAAUCGUUAUUACAAAUAAUCUUCUUCGGGUGUAAACUCCAAAGCUGCUCUCUCACCAACAGAAUUCGGUCCAAUAAAAGAUAUCACCACACCCACCUUGUCUCUCUCCAAAUAAUUUUAUGCAUAUAUAUAUACAGCUUUGUCACUGAAAAGACAAAUCCCAAUAAAAGUUGAUUGCUCCCAACCACGCUUUAAUCUUGAAGUCUUAACUCCAAAGAACACUCCAAGGAGUGUGUAGAACUAUAGCUUAUCCUACUGUACCUUAAAAAUGCUAUAUCUGAGAGGGAAAGUUUUUUUUACUCUUUACAUCACCAUUGGCAAAUUUAAAAACUAACAGAAGCAGUAAAUUGUAUAAAGCUCUGGAUAAAAGUAGUAUCUGGUCUCCCAGUGUGCCCCCUACUGCUUCUACAGGAACAAACUAGAAGUUUUUUGAAAGCUUUUCUGCUGCAAAACCCACAAAUUAAACCAAAAAAAUUUUUUAAAACACAAAGACUUAUAGGGACUAAUCUUGGUCUCAUUGUAGUCCAUGGCAAAUGACCAAUUGAUUUAAAUGGAAGCAGUAGCAGGGCAAACAUUAAAGAAAAUAAACUGUGUUAAUAUUUUUAGUAUUUUUUCUUCAAGUUCUUAAGAGGAUAUUACAGAAAGUAAAUAAAAUAUGAUAAAAGUAUUUUAUACUCUUGUCCCCUUAACAGAAUAGUACUAGGAUAAAUGUAGUCAAAAACCUUGUUAAAAAUGUGCUUUUAAAAAAUGAAGACUGUGUUUUAUUCCAAUGGAAAUUGAUUUAAAUAAACAUUCAUUUUCCCUGUAGGCAAUCCUAGCAUUGAGCUGGUACAUGAAGAUGGAAAGUGAAAUUAACAAGAAACUUACUGAAAAUGUAACACUGGCCAGGCUAUUUUCACUAUCCAAACUGCAAACAGUAAAACAGAAUAAAGCAUAAAACAUAAAUAUGAUUUUACAAUUCUUUCCAUUUUAAUAAUUAAGAAAAACUGAGCACAUAAUGUUGUGAUAACUUUAGUGAUCACUAAAUGCAUGUUUGCUUUUGAUUUUUGUUAUUUUAAAAAAAGAUCACCAUGAAUGUAAUUUGUGUACCAAUAUUUACAGAAAAGGCCGUUACAGUAGUUUGUCAUGAUGGUUGCAUAUGUUUGGGUAAGCUCCUUCUUGUCUCUGUAAGAGUAGCCAUUCAGUAAAUUGGUUUUUCAAGCCUUCCUCUUCCCUCCCUAAUGCUAUAGUUUUGAAAAUCUCAGCCUUGUCUCAUGUGGAUUUGCUAGUGUUUGUUUAGCAGAACUAGAUAGUGAGUCAAAGGCAACAGAAAUUUUCCAAAGUAGGCUCAAAACUUCACUUCUUAAUAUACACACCAUGGAACUUGACACCAAACUAGGAAAGGGGCAAGUAUGUUUUCUCCAGAUGUAUAGCCCGCUGUACAGAAAGGUGUUGAUAGUACCAGGUGUUUAAAAAAAAAAAAAAAAACUGUCUGGAAUGCCCUCCUGUUCCUUAAACACUGUUGGAGAGUCAGAGAAAGAUGUUUAUGGUAAUAAGGGAUUUGAAGCAGGUCCAGUGUCACUCUCCCCAAUUUGGACAGCACUUAGCAAGCUUAAUUAUUUUCAGCUGUGGUUCUUAUGUAAGAGCUUAGUAUUAGUUGUAUCAUAGUACAGUUACAUAGUUGAUUGAAGGAGAUGAGAUGAAAAGCCCUAUGCUGCUCUCAAUGACACCUGUGUAAAGGUAGAGACAUUGCGUUUAAACAGAGUGCAAAGUCUGGCUCUUAAAGCUGAUCCAAGGAAGCACUGGGAAGCUGUAGUUCAUAACAAACCAUCUUAUGUGAGGUGAGAGAUCAGUAUAUCAGAGAAUAAACUGAAGUCUUUGUGCCCUAGGGGGGUACACACUAACCUAGAGCCAUUCGUGGUGGGACUAGAGCCCCAGUCAGUUGAAGUCACUGCAGUCCUAGAAGAGACGAGUGAGUCCCUGUAGUGGAAAAUCAGAGCCCAGCAGGGGCGUUCCUGUCUCCCCGUCUCCUGGGGGCUGGGUUAGUUUGUGCAGGAGCUGCUUUCUCCUCUAGGCUGUAGGGCAGGCGAUGGGUCCCCGGGUGGGCUGUCUGGCUGCGCCGGGGCGGUGCUAGGAGCUGCCGCCCCCUUCUCUUUCGUACCUGCAGCCGGCUGGGGCAGAACAGAGCGCACCGCUCGCCCAGCCCCGCGAGCAGCUGCUAGAAGAGGAGGCGGCCAGUGCACCUUGCCGCGGAGCCGCCCCAGCCGGUGCAGCAGCCGGUCUCCCAGAGCAGGGCACCCCCGGCCAAAGGGGGCGAUGGCUAGUGAUCACUGCCUGGUGCUGCUAGCCGGGCUGCUGCUGUGCAGCCUGGCGGCGCGGCGAGAAGCGCAGCAGGACCCGGACCCGCUUCCUCUCCUCCUGCCCCCGGGACUCGGCGGCGGCGGGCUGCUGGUGGCCGGCAGGGGGCUGCGGGUGCCCUGCGGCCGCUCCGUGGCGCUGGACCCGGCGCGGGACCUGGCGAUCCGCGUGCCGCCGGAGGAGACGUGCGAGCUGACGGCGCUGGAGAGCGAAGAGCCGGGCCCGCCCAGCCCCGGCGCCCUCUCCCCCAGGCGCUUCCCCUGCCGCUUCGGCCCCGGCCAGGUCACCUACACCCACUACGGCGCCCCCCGCCCCGGCCGCUACCGCCUGCGCCUCCAGCUGCGCUCGGGCUCGCCCCGCCGCCCGCGCCUCCUGCCCCUGGCGCUGCCGGUGGAGGUGCUGGCCCGGCCGCCGCGCCUGCUCCGCCGCCACCUGCCGCUGGAGGUGGAGUCGCGGCUGGGGCUCAGCCCGCCCCUGGACGCCAGCGUGCUGGGCUUCCCCGAGGGCCGCUGCCGCCUCACCGCGCGGCCCCCGUCGGACGGCGGCGCCCCCCUGCCCGCCCACGGGCGCCUGGUGGACUCCGACGGGCGCCCGCUGCCCCCCGGCUACAGCAGCGAGUGCGGCCGCUUCCUGCGGGCGGGGAUCCGCUACCAGCACACGGCGGCCGAGCCCUGGCCCCGCCGCGACGCCAUCCCCAUGCGGGUGGAGCUGCUGGCCGGCGCGGAGCCGGAGUACUUCCAGGUGGCGGUGCGGCUGCGGGGCGGCGCGGCCAACGCGGCCCCCUCCCUGGGCUUCGCGGCGCUGCUGGUGGCCGAGGUGGGUCAGUUCGUGCUCACCGCCCUCACCCCCGACAUGCUGGCGGCCGAGGACCUGGAGAGCCCCCCGGACCUGCUGCUCUUCAGCCUCACCGCGCCCUGGCCCAGCCCCAGCCCCGGCGGGCGGGAAGGCGAGGAUCUCCGGCUGCGGGGCUACCUGCUCAGCACCGACGAGCCAGGCCGGCCCCUCACCUCCUUCACCCAGCGGGAGCUGAGGGAGCUGAAGAUCGCCUACCAGCCGCCCACUGUGGACUCGGACCAGGAGCGCAUCUUCCAGAUGGAAAUGAAGGUGCUGGACCCUGAGGGCGCCUCUUCCGAGCCCUUUGCCUUCAUGGUGGUGGUGAAGCCCAUGAACACGCUAGCCCCAGUGGCUACCUUCAGCCAAGCCGCCGGCCCCCAGCUCAUGCUCUUCGAGGGGCAGUCGAGGCCUCUGUCUGGCACUCUGGAGAUAAGCGAUGAGGACAACCUGAGCGAGGUGAAGGUCUGGGUGACACGGGGCCUGCGACAUGGUGAGCUCAGGGUACUGGGCGCGCCACCCGGCCGCAAGUACUUCACAGCAGCCGAGCUGGAGGCUGGGCAGGUAGUUUACCAGCACGAUGGCAGCGAGCACGGCUACAGUGACAACACCGUGUUCCUCAUGGAGGACGGGCAGCACCAGGUGGAGUUUCUUUUUCCCAUCAUCAUCGCCCCUGUUGAUGACCAGCCACCCCUGCUCAACGCCAACACCGGGCUGGUGCUGAGAGAGCACCAGGCUGUCCAGAUCUCACCCUUCGUUCUCAGCGCCACUGACAUUGAUUCUGAAGAGUCGUCUAUUCGCUUUAUACUUCAGAAGGACCCUGAGGAUUCUGCCCACGCCUCACACUCCCACCGCCUGGGUGAGCUUCUCCUGUGCCAGGCAGAGACACCGCCAUCCUAUGAGAGGGAAGAGAACAUGGAGGAGGCUGGUGGUGCUUCCUCUUCAUGGCACUUUGUGGAAAGUGAGGGUGUGUAUGAGAAGGUGGUGAGUGAAUGGCUGCAGCAGGACAUCCUGGAUGGAAGGCUGUUCUACAGGCACACAGGACCCCAUAGCACCAGUCCUGUGAUAGACCAGUUUGUGUUCCACCUCCAGGAUGACAAUGAGCCCCCUAACCAGUCUGGGGAUCAAGUAUUCACCGUCAAAGUGCAACCAGUAGACAAUUUGCCCCCACAGCUAUACCCAGGCACUAGCCUACAGAUGACAGUCUUGGAGUACCAGGUGACCCAAUUCAGAAAGCGCUAUUUGCGCUACACUGACCUGGACACAGAUGACAGCGAGUUGAAAUACACCCUGCUUACACCCCCAACUGACAUAGAUGAGAACCACCCUCUGCUAGCUGGAGAGAUCGUGCUGGCUGACAACCCUCUGGUGUCCAUUACUCAGUUCACCCAAGCCCAGGUCAACCAUCAGAAGGUGGCAUACCGGCCUCCUGACCAGGAGCUGGGUAUCACCCCAAGAGUGGUACAAUUUAACUACAGUGUAGAGGACUCAGCGAGCAACUCUGUGCCAGGGACCUUCACAAUCUUCCUGCAGCCAGUGGACAACCAGCCACCCCAGAUCACCAACAUGGGCUUCACUGUGCUCGAGGGGAGCAGCUUCCUUCUCACCACCAGUCAGUUGGAUGCCACUGACCAGGACACGGACACAGACCAAAUUGUCUUCAUCUUAAACCAGGCACCCCAGCAUGGCCACCUGCGCUACCUGGAGGGGCUGAUGGUCCAGGGAGAAUCUUUCCUGCUAGAUGAUAUUGCCAGUGGGCGUAUAUCCUACCAGCACAGUGGUGAUGAGUCCACCAAUGACUUCUAUCAACUAGAAGUGAGUGAUGGCAUCCACCAUGUGCCAAUCACUGUUAGGAUCACUGUGCAGCCCGUGGACGAUGAAAGGCCUAGCAUCACUCUACCUGGUAGUAAAGGGCUGCUGGGACCCUCUAUUGAUGUGCUAGAAAAUGGUGUCACUGAGAUCACUACUUCCCUUCUCCAGGGCACAGAUGAAGAUACUGAUGAUCUGGCACUGACUUUCUUUGUGAAGGAUCCGCCCAAGCUGGGUGACAUUCUGGUAAAUCAGGUGCCCAUGGAGAGAUUCACCCAGCAAGACCUUAUCAGUGGGACAAUAGUCUAUGCUCACACUGGUGGAGAGAUUGGCCUGAAGAAGAGAUAUGACUCUUUCAAUCUGACCAUCUCUGACCUCUCCCAUGAGUGGGUGGUGGGAGGCAGCACGGUGCAAGGGGUAUGUGUGUCUGUGACUGUGCUGCCUGUGGACAGCACUGCACCUAAAGUGAUUGUGGGGCCCGAGCUGUUCAUUGUCUCAGAGGGAGGAAAGAAAGCUCUGACCCAGCAGCAACUGGAUGUGGAGGAUGUGGAUACACCCAUGGAUGACAUUUUGUGCACCAUCACUGUUCAGUCCACUUCUGGAUACCUGGAGAACAUCUCUCCAGCCCCGGGGUCUGAAAAGUCUAGGGCUGGCACUGCCAUUAGCACCUUCUCUAUCAAAGAUGUUCACCUGGGACAUAUCAGCUAUGUUCAGAGCAUCCACAAGGGGGUGGAGCCCUUAGAGGACAGAUUCACUUUCUGCUGCUCUGAUGGCGUCAACAUCUCCCCACACCACUUCUUCCCCAUUAUCAUCAUCCCUACCAAUGAUGAAAAGCCUGAGCUGUCUGUGCGUGAGUUUGUGGUGCUGGAGGGGAUGAGUCUGGUUAUUGACACGCCCAUCCUCAAUGGCGCCGAUGCUGAUCUUCCCCCAGACCACUUGCACUUCUUCAUCAGUGUUCCCCCCAAGCAUGGGCAAAUUGUGCAGCAGCUGACAACUGGUGCCAUACCCAUCCGCAACUUCACAAUGGAGGAGAUCCAGGACGCCUCCAGCAUUGUCUAUGAGCAUGAUGACUCCGAAAUUAAAGAGGACAGCUUCAAAGUCCAGCUAAGUGAUGGCCAGCACACAGUGGAACAGAAAGUGCUGAUCAUGGUGAUCCUUAUGGAUGAUGAGACCCCUAGGAUGACUAUCAAUGAUGGGCUGGAGAUAGAGAUUGGUGGGUCUAAGGUUAUCACGAACAGAGACCUUAAAGCCACAGACAUAGAUUCAGAAGACAGGAACCUCACCUACAUCAUCCGCUUGGCACCCAGGCAGGGUCUUCUGCAGCAUGUGAGCAGACACGGGGAGCCAUUAGGCAACAUUACAGUGGGCAUGAACUUCACCCAGGAUGAUAUAGACCAUGGUUUUAUCCGUUAUGCUCAUACUGGCCAACAAGGGGUCCGUGACCUGAUUAAAUUUGAUGUCACUGAUGGCAUUAACCCCUUGAUAGACAGAUACUUUUAUAUUACCAUCAGCGGCAUUGACAUAGUCUUUCCUGAGGUGAUUAACAAAGGGGUAACUCUUAAAGAGGGUGGGAAGGUGACGCUCACAACUGACCUGCUCAGCACUAGUGACAUUAACAGCCCUGAUGAGAACCUGCGCUUUGGCAUCACCCGGGCCCCUAACCGAGGGCACUUAGAGAGCUCAGACAAUCCUGGAGUGCCUGUUGCUUCCUUCUCUCAGCUCCAGCUAGCUGGCAAUAAGAUUUACUACAUCCACACUGCAGAGGAUGAGGUGAAGAUGGACAGCUUCGAGUUUGAAGUGACAGAUGGCUAUAAUCCGGUCUUCCGCACCUUCAGGGUCUCCAUUACAGACGUGGACAAUAAAAAGCCAAUUCUGACUAUCAAUGACCUUGUAGUUGAGGAAGGGAAGACCAAACUGAUUACCCCCUUUGAGUUGACUGUGGAAGAUUGGGACACCCCUGACCAUUUGCUCCGUUUCACGGUUACCCAGGUCCCUGUCCAUGGCCGGAUUUUAUAUAACAGCAGCUAUCCUGUGACCAGCUUCACCAAAUUAGAUUUGAAUGAGAAUCUGAUCAGCUAUAGACAUGAUGGUACAGAAACAAGCCAGGAUAGCUUCUCGUUCACUAUGACUGACGGGACCCACACAGACUUUUACGUUUUCCCUGACACCAUUCUGGAGACUCAUCAACCCCAGAUGUUGAAGAUCCAGAUCAAUCCCCUGGACAAUGGGGUGCCACAGUUAGUGGUGAACAAAGGUGCCCCAACUCUGAGAAACCUUCCGACUGGACACUUGGGCUUCUUGAUCACCAGCAAGUCACUGAAGGCAGAAGACCGAGACAGCCCACACAAACUGCUGAAGUACAAAAUCACAGAUAGCCCAGACCAUGGAUUCAUCAUUAAUAUUGGCCUUGGAAAUGAGAGCAUUAAUACAUUUACACAAGCUGAUAUUGAUGAAAUGAAGAUCAGCUAUGUCUUGAAAGAGGGCGAUAGUUCUACCAGUGACAUCAUCUACUUCUCCAUUGAAGACAAUGGAGGAAACAAGCUAAAGGGCCAAUGCUUCCGUUUGAACUGGGCUUGGAUUUCACUGGAGAAAGAGUACUACAUUGUAGACGAGGACUCCAAGUUCCUGGAGGUAACUCUCAAGCGCAGAGGAUACCUAGGAGAGACAUCUUUCAUCAGUAUUGGGACUGAAGAUGGAACAGCAAAAAAGGAUAAAGAUUUCAAAGGGAAAGCUCAGAGACAAGUCCAGUUUAAUCCAGGACAGACCACGGCUACCUGGCGAGUGAGGAUAACCAUAGAUGAUGAAUAUGAAGCAUCUGAAACUUUCCAGAUCAUUUUGUCUGAUCCUAUCAUGGCUGCCCUUGAGUUUCCAGAAAUAGCGACAGUUGAAAUUGUGGAUCCUGGUGACGAAUCUAUAGUGUACAUUCCCUGGCUGGAGUACAGAGUAGAGGAAGAUAUUGGUGAGCUGUUAAUCCCUGUUAGGAGAUCUGGAGAUAUCAGCCAAGAACUAAUGGUCGUUUGUUGCACAUAUCAAGGCUCUGCCACAGGCACAAAUCCCUCCACUGUGUUAUCCUAUUCUGACUACAUCUCCCGUCCUGAAGAUCAUACCAGCAUCAUCCACUUUGAUAAGUAUGAGAGAGAGAAAACCUGUCGCAUCAUCAUUAUUGAUGAUUCCUUGUAUGAGGAAGAUGAGACCUUCAAUGUCACGCUGAGCAUGCCGAUGGGUGGGCAAAUCGGUGCUAAAUUUCCUAGCACCAAAGUGGUAAUCCUGGCUAGCACAGAGGAUGAACCUGCUUUAUACUUCGGCGACACUGAAUAUCGGGUGGAUGAAAGUGCUGGUUACGUUGAAGUUCGUGUCUGGAGAACUGGAACAGAUCUCUCCAAACCGGCCUCCGUCACUGCACGUUCCAGGAAAACGGAGCCAGUAUCAGCAAAGGCUGGAAUUGAUUACGUGGGCAUCAGCCAGAAUCUGGACUUUGCUCCUGGAGUCAAGAUGCAGGCGUUCCGAGUGACUGUCCUCGACGAUCUGGGGCAGCCUGUUUUGGAGGGUCCGGAGACAUUUGAGCUGAUUCUUUGUAUGCCCAUGAAUGCAGUGCUUGGGGUGCCUAGCAAAACUACCAUCUUCAUCAAUGACAGCAUUACUGACUUACCCAAAGUCCAGUUCAAGAAACCAUGGUACACAGUGAAUGAAAAAGAUGGACAGUUAGUGGCUAUCAUUUAUCGUAGUGGUGAUAUUAACCAUAAAUCUACCGUCCGUUGCUACACUCGCCAAGGUUCUGCUCAAGUCAUGAUGGACUACCAGGAGCGACCAAACACAGAUGACUCUGUGGUGGUGUUUCUGCCAGGAGAGAUUGAGAAGCCCUGUGUGGUAAUACUGGAGGAUGAUGCAAUUUAUGAAGAAGAGGAAGAAUUCAGACUAGUGCUUGGAACACCAAAAAGUACCUCAACGUUUGGUGCCUCCAUUGGGGAGCAAAAAGAGACCCUGAUCAAGAUUAAGGAUGAAGAAGACAAACCAGUGAUUAAGUUCUCCAAAAUCAAACACAGCAUUCAGGAGCCUCAGGAGCCUGGAGAGAUUGCAGUUGUAAAGAUCCCCAUUUUACGUCUGGGUGACAGCUCAAAAGUAUCUGUUGUGCGAAUCCACACAAAAGAUGGCUCUGCCACCUCUGGGGAAGACUAUAAUCCAAUGUCUGAUGACACUGAAUUCAAAGAAGGAGAAACUGAACAUAUUGUUGAAGUUGAGGUCUUAUACGAUGGAGUGAGAGAAAUGAGAGAAGCAUUUACAGUCCACUUGAAACCAGAUGAGAAUAUGGUGGCUGAGACACAGCUGAACAAAGCCAUUGUGUACAUCGAAGAAGUGGACAGCAUUGCAGACGUGACUUUCCCAGCUGUGCCCCAGGUUGUAUCGCUCCUGAUGUACGAUGACACUUCUAAAAGCAAAGAGAACCCGCAUCCUCCAGCUGGUUACCCUAUUGUGUGUGUAACGGCAUGUAAUCCCAAGUAUUCAGACUAUGACAAGACUGGGUCUCUCUGUGCUGCUGAAAACAUCAAUGACACUCUGACCCUGUACCGCUGGCUUAUCGGUGCUCCGAGUGGCAGCGACGGUGUCACCAGCCCCCUGCGGGCAAUGGACUCCAACACCUUCUUUACCAACACCAAGUCCAUCUCCCUGGACUCCAUAUACUUCCAGGCUGGAUCAAGGGUCCAGUGUGCAGCACGGGCUGUCAGUGCCAAUGGUGAUAUGGGUCUGGAACUGCUGAGCCCUAUUUACACAGUGAACAGAGAAGACGACAUCAAAACAGCACAGUUACCGACAAUGAGUAGAGAGCAGUGAAGCCUGCUCAGAAGAACCGAAGGACUUCUGAACAUGGGAACAUUUAGAGAUCUACAGACCAGGGCUGGUUUAAGCAUAGGCGCUGUAGGUCUAUGCCCAGGGCCUCAACUCCUCAAGAACAAUGUGGCUGAUUAGAUCAGAAUCUCUGUUUUCAGUUUUUUAAAGCAUGUCUUUGUCAACCUCGGAUCCCAGGAACGGUUGGAGCAGAACCUUUCUCAGCCAAGAUUCGCUACGUGGGUCCAGAUGAUCCUGAUUACCCCAACCUGAUCAAAUUAACAGUUACAAUGCCUCAUAU